GAUGAACGCUGGCGGCGUGCCUAAUACAUGCAAGUCGAGCGAACAGACGAGAAGCUUGCUCCUCUGACGUUAGCGGCGGACGGGUGAGUAACACGUGGAUAACCUACCUAUAAGACUGGGAUAAAUUCGGGAAACCGGAGCUAAUACCGGAUAAUAUAUUGAACCGCAUGGUUCAAUAGUGAAAGACGGUUUUGCUGUCACUGAUAGAUGGAUCCGCGCCGCAUUAGCUAGUUGGUAAGGUAACGGCUUACCAAGGCAACGAUGCGUAGCCGACCUGAGAGGGUGAUCGGCCACACUGGAACUGAGACACGGUCCAGACUCCUACGGGAGGCAGCAGUAGGGAAUCUUCCGCAAUGGGCGAAAGCCUGACGGAGCAACGCCGCGUGAGUGAUGAAGGUCUUCGGAUCGUAAAACUCUGUGAUUAGGGAAGAACAAAUGUGUAAGUAACUAUGCACGUCUUGACGGUACCUAAUCAGAAAGCCACGGCUAACUACGUG
RNAcentral lists this ribosomal RNA (497 nucleotides) under uncultured bacterium. RNAcentral describes it as "partial 16S ribosomal RNA". It matches the Rfam family "Bacterial small subunit ribosomal RNA", at positions 28 to 507 of the family's 1533-position model. The record is from RNAcentral.